RNAcentral lists this ribosomal RNA (466 nucleotides) under uncultured bacterium. RNAcentral's name for it is "partial 16S ribosomal RNA". It matches the Rfam family "Bacterial small subunit ribosomal RNA", at positions 28 to 507 of the family's 1533-position model. The record is from RNAcentral.
GAUGAACGCUGGCGGCGUGCUUAACACAUGCAAGUCGAACGAUGAAGCCCAGCUUGCUGGGUGGUUUAGUGGCGAACGGGUGAGUAACACGUGAGUAACCUGCCCUUAACUCUGGGAUAAGCCUGGGAAACUGGGUCUAAUACCGGAUAGGAGCGUCCACCGCAUGGUGGGUGUUGGAUAGAUUUAUCGGUCUUGGAUGGACUCGCGGCCUGUCAGCUUGUUGGUGAGGUAAUGGCUCACCAAGGCGAGGACGGGUAGCCGGCCUGAGAGGGUGACCGGCCACGCUGGGACUGAGACACGGCCCAGCCUCCUACGGGAGGCAGCAGUGGCGAAUAUUGCCCAAUGGGCGCAAGCCUGAUGCAGCGACGCCGCGUGAGGGAUGACGGCCUUCGGGUUGUAGACCUCUUUCAGUAGGGAAGAAGCGAAAGUGACGGUACCUGCAGAAGAAGCACCGGCUAACUACGUG